UUGAAUUGAAGAGUUUGAUCAUGGCUCAGAUUGAACGCUGGCGGCAGGCUUAACACAUGCAAGUCGAACGGUAACAUAAAGAAGCUUGCUUCUUUG
RNAcentral lists this ribosomal RNA (96 nucleotides) under Parahaemophilus parainfluenzae. RNAcentral's name for it is "Haemophilus parainfluenzae partial 16S ribosomal RNA". It matches the Rfam family "Bacterial small subunit ribosomal RNA", at positions 1 to 90 of the family's 1533-position model. Lineage: Bacteria; Pseudomonadati; Pseudomonadota; Gammaproteobacteria; Pasteurellales; Pasteurellaceae. The record is from RNAcentral.